This 70-nucleotide transfer RNA is filed under the name Acidobacteriota bacterium. RNAcentral's name for it is "Acidobacteria bacterium (activated sludge metagenome) tRNA-Glu". It matches the Rfam family "tRNA". Rfam says of the family: Transfer RNA (tRNA) molecules are approximately 80 nucleotides in length. Their secondary structure includes four short double-helical elements and three loops (D, anti-codon, and T loops). The record is from RNAcentral. Lineage: Bacteria; Pseudomonadati; Acidobacteriota.
CGACGUAGCCAAAGGGUAAGGCAUCUGCGUCUCACGCAGCGAUUUCCGGGUUCGAAUCCCGGCGUCUCAG